GACGGGAGAAAGCCAGCUCUUAGGGAAAAAGUCCAGCCAAAGAAAAUAGAUCCUUCCUGAGGAGAACUCCACCCAAACUGGGUUCCAGCAGGAGCUAAGCCCUAAUCCAGGGGUCUUCAAACUUGGCCCUUGGAUGACUUGUGGACUUCAACAGGCAGAGGAAUUCUGGGAGUUGAAGUCCACAAGUCAUCAAAGGACCAGGUUUGAAGACCCCUGCCCUAAAUGGUCAGAUCUCCUCACUCACGAACCUCAGAAGGUGACCAUUUAGCUCAGGGCUUCUCAACCUGACCCGCUUUAAAGAUAAGUGGCUUCAACUCCCAGAAUGCCCCAGGCAGCAAAACUGGCUGCGGAAUCCUGGGCUCUGAAGUCCGUCCAUCUGGAGGACUUAAAGGUACCCGACGUCUAUCUGGAUCCCGGAGGUACAGAUCCAUCCGGGACCGUCCUGGAGGAAAACCAGGGGCUCUUCCACUGAGACUCAGCCCCAUCCUCAGGAGGGACACAUCCAAUGUCUUCUUUGGGUUUGAAAGCGGUGCCUUCUACCUUGAAGAGUGGUUGGGCCGCUUGUGGAGACGAAAACCCGAAAUUCGGAGGCGUUGCCAGCGUUGGUGAGGAAGGUUUU
Long non-coding RNA from Crotalus tigris (Tiger rattlesnake), 619 nucleotides. RefSeq lists it as uncharacterized. The record is from RefSeq and is a predicted model, not a curated record. Lineage: Eukaryota; Metazoa; Chordata; Lepidosauria; Squamata; Viperidae. The transcript has 3 exons.